Long non-coding RNA from Juglans regia (Persian walnut), 383 nucleotides. RefSeq lists it as uncharacterized. The record is from RefSeq and is a predicted model, not a curated record. The transcript is spliced from 3 exons. NCBI's taxonomy places the organism in Eukaryota, Viridiplantae, Streptophyta, Magnoliopsida, Fagales, Juglandaceae.
UUGGCUCUAUUGGUGGUGUACGAAAUGUCGUGUUGAUAGACACCGGAAGCACCCACAAUUUUGUGGAUCCCUCAAUUGUAACAAAGGCACAAUUACCUCUAUGCCAUACACCAGGAUUGACAGUCAACGUAGCAAAUGGCGAAGCUGUCCGCAGCGAAGGACUUACGCAAUCAGAAGCUUUUCUGAUGCAAGGAUUUUUCAAAGUUAUCUAUGACCUUUACUUACAAGGGCAGCAAGGUGGCGCUUCAAGGCCUCACUCCUUCUGCAUUCUCACUGAUGGAAGGUGACGACUACGGGAAGAUGAUUAAGAUGGACAAUAGAGGUUAUGGCAUUGGAGCAGUUCUCUUACAGCAAGGCAAACCAAUUGCUUUAAUGAGUCAAGC